Mycena galopus ATCC 62051 is the source of this 87-nucleotide non-coding RNA. Lineage: Eukaryota; Fungi; Basidiomycota; Agaricomycetes; Agaricales; Mycenaceae. The record is from the annotation of a GenBank genome assembly.
GCCUGGAUGGUCUAGUAGUAUGAUACCUUGUUAGGGCGGUGACUCUGCAUUUCGAGGUGGUCCUGGGUUCAAUUCCCAGUUCGGGCC